This 407-nucleotide ribosomal RNA is filed under the name uncultured bacterium. RNAcentral describes it as "partial 16S ribosomal RNA". It matches the Rfam family "Bacterial small subunit ribosomal RNA", at positions 30 to 526 of the family's 1533-position model. The record is from RNAcentral.
AUUGAACGCUGGCGGCAGGCCUAACACAUGCAAGUCGAGCGGCUCGGCGGUCGGGUGCGUAAUGCCUAUGAAUCUGCCUGUUCGUGGGGGAUAACGUCCGGUAACGGGCACUGUUACUGCAUCCUCUCAGCUUCGCCUAGGUCGGAUUAGCUAGUUGGUGGGGUAAGGGCCUACCAAGGCGACGAUCCGUAACUGGUCUGAGAGGAUGAUCAGUCACACUGGAACUGAGACACGGUCCAGACUCCUACGGGAGGCAGCAGUGGGGAAUAUUGGACAAUGGGCGAAAGCCUGAUCCAGCCAUGCCGCGUGUGUGAAGAAGGUCUUCGGAUUGUAAAGUACUUUCAGCGGGGAGGCGUUACCCGCAGAAGAAGCACCGGCUAACUCCGUGCCAGCAGCCGCGGUAAUAC